This is a non-coding RNA of Chelonoidis abingdonii (Abingdon island giant tortoise), 309 nucleotides long. The record is from RefSeq and is a predicted model, not a curated record. NCBI's taxonomy places the organism in Eukaryota, Metazoa, Chordata, Testudines, Testudinidae.
UCAGUGUACUUAAAGGGGAAAUGCGCAUCUCUCUCACACACACACAUCCUGUGUGUUUCUGUCUGGGAUGCUGUCUCGCCUCCCUCCAUUCCUGCUUGUAGAGUGUGAGAGUUAACCCUUGAGGGUUACACCAAUUGCUAGUUCAUCGUUUAGCAGUAAGGCAUCCCCUGGGAAAUAUCCCACCAUCUGACUCUUCCACCUCAACCAAGUUUCACAAGCAUCAUCACUGUCUACCAGUAUUAAACUGUUCGUUUAAAACUUAUACUCUGUGUGUGUAUGUGUAUGCAGAGAGAGAGAGAGAGAGUGUGA